GGCGGAAUAGUUUAGUGGUAUAACGACAGAAUCAUAAUCUGUAAAACGUAGGUUCGAAUCCUACUUCCGUCA
RNAcentral lists this transfer RNA (72 nucleotides) under Glaucocystis nostochinearum. RNAcentral's name for it is "tRNA-Met". It matches the Rfam family "tRNA". From Rfam's summary of the family: Transfer RNA (tRNA) molecules are approximately 80 nucleotides in length. The record is from RNAcentral. Lineage: Eukaryota; Glaucocystophyceae; Glaucocystales; Glaucocystaceae.